RNAcentral lists this ribosomal RNA (472 nucleotides) under uncultured bacterium. Its description in RNAcentral is "bacterial SSU rRNA". It matches the Rfam family "Bacterial small subunit ribosomal RNA", at positions 8 to 507 of the family's 1533-position model. The record is from RNAcentral.
AGAGUUUGAUCAUGGCUCAGGAUGAACGCUGGCGGCGUGCCUAACACAUGCAAGUCGAGCGAUCUUCUUCGGAAGAGAGCGGCGGACGGGUGAGUAACGCGUGGGUAACCUGCCUCAUACACAUGGAUAACAUACCGAAAGGUAUGCUAAUACAAGAUGAUAUAAGAGAUUCGCAUGGAUUUCUUAUCAAAGCUUUUGCGGUAUGAGAUGGACCCGCGUCUGAUUAGCUAGUCGGUAAGGUAAUGGCUUACCAAGGCGACGAUCAGUAGCCGACCUGAGAGGGUGAUCGGCCACAUUGGAACUGAGACACGGUCCAAACUCCUACGGGAGGCAGCAGUGGGGAAUAUUGCACAAUGGGCGAAAGCCUGAUGCAGCAACGCCGCGUGAGCGAUGAAGGCCUUCGGGUCGUAAAGCUCUGUCCUCAAGGAAGAUAAUGACGGUACUUGAGGAGGAAGCCCCGGCUAACUACGUG